AUAGUGGUAACAGGUAACAGGGUAUUAGAGCAUGAUAUCGGAGAGGGAGUCUGAGAAAUAGCUACCACAUCUAAGGAAGGCAGCAGACACGCAAAUUACCCAAUCCUGACACGAGAAGGUAGUGACAAUAAACAACAAUACAGAGUUCUUUUGGAUCUUGUAAUUGGAAUGAGUAUAAUUUAAAUCUCUUAACGAAGAACAAUUGAAGAGUAAGUCUGAUGCUAGCAGUAGCGAUAAUUCUAACUCCAAUAGCGUAUAUUAAAGUUGUUACAGUUAAAAAGCUCAUAGUUGAAUUUCGGGAUCAAUGUUUCAGUUAUGCUAUUGGUAUAUACUGAUAUUAUUAGUUUUUCACCUUCUAAAGAACUGUAAUGCCAUUAAUUUAGUGUCACAAGGAAUUAGGACUGUUACCUUGAAAAAAAUAGAGUGUUUAAAGCAGGCUCAUGCUUGAAUACAUUAGCAUGGAAUAAUGAAAUAGGACAUCUGAUUCUAUUUUGUUAGUUUCUAGGAUCGAUGUAAUGAUUAAUAGAGAUAGUUGAAGGCAUUAGUAUUCAAUUGUCAGAGGUGAAAUUCUUGGAUUUAUUGAAGACUAACUACUGCGAAAGUAUUUGCCAAGAAUGUUUUCAUUAAUCAAUAAUGAAAGUUAGGGGAUCGAAGACUAUCAGAUACCGUUGUAGUCUUAACCAUAAACUAUGCUGA
RNAcentral lists this ribosomal RNA (696 nucleotides) under uncultured Glomeromycotina. RNAcentral describes it as "SSU rRNA". It matches the Rfam family "Eukaryotic small subunit ribosomal RNA", at positions 346 to 1045 of the family's 1831-position model. The record is from RNAcentral. Lineage: Eukaryota; Fungi; Glomeromycota.